This 415-nucleotide ribosomal RNA is filed under the name uncultured bacterium. RNAcentral describes it as "bacterial SSU rRNA". It matches the Rfam family "Bacterial small subunit ribosomal RNA", at positions 29 to 444 of the family's 1533-position model. The record is from RNAcentral.
AUUGAACGCUGGCGGCGUGCUUAGCACAUGCAAGUCGAUCGGUAACAGGUGUAGCAAUACAUGCUGACGAGAGGCGGACGGGUGAGUAAUGCUUGGGAAUCUGCCUAUUAGUGGGGGACAACCCGGGGAAACUCGGGCUAAUACCGCAUACGCUCUACGGAGGAAAGCCGGGGACCGCAAGGCCUGGCGCUAAUAGAUGAGCCCAAGUCGGAUUAGCUAGUUGGUAGGGAACGGCCUACCAAGGCGACAAUCCGUAGCUGGUCUGAGAGGACGACCAGCCACACCGGAACUGAGACACGGUCCGGACUCCUACGGGAGGCAGCAGUGGGGAAUAUUGGACAAUGGGGGCAACCCUGAUCCAGCGACGCCGCGUGGGUGAAGAAGGCCUGCGGGUUGUAAAGCCCUUUCGGUGGGG